Molecule: ribosomal RNA, 491 nt
Filed under: uncultured bacterium
Lineage: Bacteria
Description: partial 16S ribosomal RNA
Rfam family: Bacterial small subunit ribosomal RNA
Source: RNAcentral
AGUGAACGCUGGCGGUAGGCCUACACAUGCCAGUUCAACGGCAGCACAGUAAGAGCUUGCCCUUACGGGUGGCGAGUGGCGGACGGGUGAGGAAUACAUCGGAAUCUACUUUUUCGUGGGGGAUUACGGAGGGAAACUUACGCUAAUACCGCAUACGACCUACGGGUGAAAGCAGGGGAUCUUUGGACCUUGCGCGAUUGAAUGAGCCGAUGUCGGAUUAGCUAGUUGGCGGGGUAAAGGCCCACCAAGGCGACGAUCCGUAGCUGGUCUGAGAGGAUGAUCAGCCACACUGGAACUGAGACACGGUCCAGACUCCUACGGGAGGCAGCAGUGGGGAAUAUUGGACAAUGGGCGCAAGCCUGAUCCAGCCAUACCGCGUGGGUGAAGAAGGCCUUCGGGUUGUAAAGCCCUUUUGUUGGGAAAGAAAAGCAGCAGGUUAAUACCCCGCUGUUCUGACGGUACCCAAAGAAUAAGCACCGGCUAACUUCGUG